GAUGAACGCUGGCGGCGUGCCUAAUACAUGCAAGUCGAGCGAACAGACGAGGUGCUUGUUCCUCUUACGUUAGCGGCGGACGGGUGAGUAACACGUGGAGAACCUACCUAUAAGACUGGGAUAACUUCGGGAAACCGAUGCUAAUACCGGAUAAUAUCUUGAAACGCAUGGUUCAAUAGUGAAAGACGCAUUUGCUUUACCUAAUGAUUAGAUCCCGGCCGCAUAAGCAAGUUGUUAAGGUAACGCCUUCCCAAGGGAAGAUUCAGUGGCCACCCUGGAAGGUGGAUCGGCAACACUGGAACUGGGCCACGGUCCAACUCCCUACGGGAGCAACCAUAAGGGAACUUCCCGCAAUGGGCGAAGGCCUGCCGGGGCAACGCGGCGUGAGUGAUGAAGGUCUUGGGAUCGUAAACCUCUGUUAUUAGGGAAGACCAAAUGUGUAAGUAAAUAUUCACGAAUUGACGGUAACUACUCAGAAAGCCACGGCUAACUACGUG
This 497-nucleotide ribosomal RNA is filed under the name uncultured bacterium. Its description in RNAcentral is "partial 16S ribosomal RNA". It matches the Rfam family "Bacterial small subunit ribosomal RNA", at positions 28 to 507 of the family's 1533-position model. The record is from RNAcentral.